Hypanus sabinus (Atlantic stingray) is the source of this 4002-nucleotide non-coding RNA. NCBI's taxonomy places the organism in Eukaryota, Metazoa, Chordata, Chondrichthyes, Myliobatiformes, Dasyatidae. The record is from the annotation of a RefSeq genome assembly.
AAUUCUGCCUUCCUUGACGAUAUCUUCUUGGUCCUCACUACCAUCACUGUGGUCUUUAGUCUCUGCCUAUUUGCCUGGAGUUGAAGUACAGUCAGUUGAUCACGCUUACCAAAGUGUGCCCAUGGGCUGACACGGUAACCAUUGUUGAUGGUGGUAUAACAGUGGUUAAGUGUUGGCUCCUCUGUUUCCACAGGUGAUAUGUUAGUGGAUAUUGUUCAGAGACUUCCUCGAGAUGUCCUGGUUUGAAUCCAGGUGUGCUAUUUCAUGUUUACUGACCAUGGUGCUCAGCUCUUCCAGUGACUACACAAUGCUGACCUGAGGUGGCUGCCCCCACAUCAUGCCAGGAUCUGCUGUACACUAAUGGACUGAAAUUGUUUACAGUCAUUCAUCAACAACUCCAUUAUCACUGUGUCACGUAUCAGCAGACUGAAUCCAGCAGCAUUUAAUCAUGAGCAGUGUUCUGCAGUGAUCUUUGUUGGCCCUGCAACUAUUCACUGAUAUUACUAAUGAUGUGGAUGAUGGGACACAAAACCAUGUCUAUUAGUGUCCAGCAAAUGAAAAACAGUCUCCACAGAAAAUAGAAUGGCAGAGAGGUUUAAAGUGUAGAGAUGGAAAUAGAUGAAGUGAACAGGACAACUGUAACAAAGCGAGAUCAUUGACUGCAGCAGACAGGUUACAGAGAUGAAAGGAGAGAUUUUUCAUGGGAGAUCUGAAAGUCAGCAUCAGAAUUUUCAAUCUGGAGGAAUCUCAGGCUCAGUCUGAACAGAUAUGAGGCAGCUCUUUGAUUCAGGUCACUGUCACAAAUGGAUCUACAGACUCUCACAUGCGCCGAGAAGGAAGAUUGCAGGAAAUGUUGUCUCUGAUGAGAAACUGCAUCUCUCAUUGCAAUUCACAGCUCCAAUAGCAUAUUUCAUUGGCAUUCCAGCAGCUAACUGUCACGUAGCUGGCCAACUGUCCUGCAGUCCCUGUUGUGACCUGAAAAGGUCCCGAGGAAAUAAGCUCCUUGAUGUUUGAUUUUGUUUUCUCAGUCAAAGGUUGUAAGCAGAGAUGAGCAACCCACUCUGCAAACAAACCUGAUUUCAUUCCAAUGUACAAUUCUGUACAAAUUGAGCUUCAGGAUAAGUCUGAGCUGAAGUUGUCAAGCCAGCUGACAGCAGAUAUUGUCCAGUUUGUAAAUUUUCUAUUUCUCAUCUACAGAGUUGUCUGUCUUUAUCCAAAAUCCCUCCAUUGAAGAGAUGUGGAUCAACCAGACCGCUACUCUGGUGUGUAUGAUUAUGGGUGCUGAUCUGAGCCAGGUCCAAAUCGACUGGCAGGUGAAUGAGGGGGAGAAAAUCAAAGCAAACAUGACCAAAAAACUGAGAGAGGAAAGAACCCGAGGCACAGUGAUCAGCCAACUCCAGCUCAGUGUGGAGGAGUGGGCCAGUGGGGUGGAGUACACUUGCUCUGCCCAACAACCUUCUUCAACCUCACCAGUAUCAGCACGGACAAAAAGUACCAAAGUUCCAGUGGAGACAAAAGGUCCCAAAGUCAGACUGCUGCCACCACCAGAGGGAGAGACCAAGAGUGGGAACACGGUCACCCUCGAGUGUGUUGCCUCUGGAUUCUACCCAAACCAAAUAACCAUCAUCUGGGAGAAAGGGGACUCUCUGAUCUCUUCCAACAUCAGUGUGAGACCAGCUGCUCUGGAACAGGCGGGGACUUUCAUUGUCAGCUACAUCCUGACCGUGCGCACAGAGGAGUGGAAGGACGGCUCAGUUUUCAGAUGCACAGUGUCUCAUCCCCCCUCCAACACCAGCGUCAGGCAGGAUGUGAAAAACAUUCAAGAAAUCUGCACAGACUUGACAGGAGAGGAGGGGAAGGAAGAACAGGGACACGUGGAUGGAGAUGACAAUGUGCCUACAGUUGCUGCCUUUGCCAUUCUGUUCAUCAUCAGUUUCCUCUACAGCACCUUUGUCACUGUUGUCAAGGUUCAGCAGUGACCAGCAGAUACACGCCCCACAUUCAGACAAGAAAUCCCCAUGUGGCUGCGAUGUUUGGAAAUGGAAUCUCCAUCUCACUCACUCAACAAUCCGAGGCUACUGCACUGCAGCUGCUCAUUUCAGAAUAUAAACCUCUAGAUGCACCAGGGAUGCCAGAUGGAAAAUGGGGGCACGGAGCCGGUUAGGUGGCCAGAGGGACAGCAGUGGAUGAUACAUUGGGAAAAUGGCAGGAUAUGUGACACUGGAGGUGGUAUACAAGAGAGGAGAGGAAGGCAGCAUUAAGCCUUGUGAAUGGGGAACAGGGGUUGGGAGUUUUGUUAGAGAAGGAGAAGAGGGAGGUGAGGAAAUGGAUUUUAUUGUUAAGGAGCAAGAAAUUGAUGUGGGGGGUUGAUUGUGGUGGAGGGUGGGCUCAGUGUCUUCUUCUGUCAUAUUUUGUAAAUCAGACGUUAUGGAAAUCAUUGCCUGUACCAUUUCUUUCAUUAUUCCACUGGAGUUUAUUUCAUGAUUUGAAAAUGUAUAUAUUAAAAACAAAGAAAAUGAGACAAUGAAGUGUCUGGAGUUGAUAAAAAUGAGGAAAGCCAUUCAUCCCAUCUUAGUUCCCUCAUCACUGCAGUGACUUCACCUGCCUACAAGUACAACAAGUGGGUUUUGCAUCCCGUAAGACCAUAAGACAAAGGAGCAGAAGUCGGCCAUUUGGCCCAUCGAGUCUGCUCCGCCAUUUCAUCAUGAGCUGAUCCAAUCUCCCCUUUAGUCCCAUUCCCCUGCCUUCUCACCAUAACCUUUGAUGUCCUGACUACUCAGAUACCACCCGCGGCAACAAAUUCCACAGAUUCACCACCCUCUGGCUAUUUUUUUCUUUUUUUUGCAUCUCCAUUCUGAAUGGAUGCUCUGCAAUCCUCAAGUCACGUCCUCUCGUAAUAGACUCCCCCACCAUGGGGAACAACUUUGCCACAUCCACUCUGUCCAUGUCUUUCAACAUUCGAAAUGUUUCUAUGAGGUCCCCCAUCAUUCUUCUAAACUCCAAGGAGUACAGUCCAAGAGCGGUCAAACGUUCCUCAUUUGUUAACCCGCUCAUUCCCGGAAUCAUUCUAGUGAAUCUUCUCUGUAACCUCUCCAACGUCAGCACAUCCUUUCUUAAAUAAGGAGCCCAAAACUGCACACAGUAUUCCAAGUGAGGUCUUACCAGUGCCUUAUAGAGGCUCAACAUCACAUCCCUGCUCCUAUACUCUAUUCCUUGAGAAACGAAUGGCAACAUUGCAUUCGCCUUCUUCACCACCGACUCAACCUGGAGGUUAACCUUAAGGGUAUCCUGCAUGAGAACUCCCAUGUCCCGUUGCAUUUCAGAACUUUGAAUUCUCUCCCCAUUUAAAUCAUAGUCUGCCCGUUUAUUUUUUCUACCAAAGUGCAUGACCGUACACAUUCCGACAUUGUAAUUCAUUAGCUACCUCUUUGCCCAUUCCCCCAAUCUAUCCAAGGCUCUCUGCAGACUCUCUAUUUCCUCAGCACUACUGGCCCCUCCACCUAUCUUUGUAUCAUCAGCAAGCUUAGCCACAAAGCCAUCUAUUCCAUCAUCCAAAUGGUUGAUAUACAACGUAAAAAGAAGUGGCCCCAACACAGACCCCUGCGGAACACCACUGGUAACCGGCAGCCAACCAGAAAGUGAUCCUUGCAUUCCCACUCCCUGUUUCCUGCCAAUCAACCACCAGUCUAUCCACGUAUGUAACUUUCCUGUAAUUCCAUGGGCUCUUGUUUGGCAGCCUCAUGUGCGGCACCUUGUCAAAAGCCUUCUGAAAAUCCAAACACACAACAUCCAGUACAUCUCCCUUGUCUAGCUUACUUGUACUUUCCUCAAAAAAUUGCACUAGGUUUGUCAGGCAGGAUUUUCCUUUAAGGAAACCAUGCUGAGUUCUGCCAAUCUUGACAUAUGGCUCCAGCUACUCCGUAACCUCAUCUUUGACAAUCGACUCCAACAACGUCCCAACCACCGAUGUCAAGCUAACAAGUCUAUAAUUUCCUUUUUGCU